GGCCUAAUACAUGCAAGUCGAACGGUGGUAGCAAUACCAUAGUGGCGCACGGGUGCGUAACACGUAACUAAUCUACCUACAACUGGGGGAUAGCCCGCCGAAAGGCGGAUUAAUACCGCAUAACACUUGAUUUCGGCAUCGAGAUUUAGUUAAAGAUUUAUUGGUUGUAGAUGAGGUUGCGGGUCAUUAGCUAGUUGGUUGGGUAACGGCUGACCAAGGCGACGAUGACUAGGGGAGCUGAGAGGCUGGUCCCCCACACGGGCACUGAGAUACGGGCCCGACUCCUACGGGAGGCAGCAGUAGGGAAUAUUGGGCAAUGGGCGAGAGCCUGACCCAGCCAUGCCGCGUGCAGGAAGAAGGCCUUCUGAGUCGUAAACUGCUUUUGACAGGGAAGAAUAAGCACUACGUGUAGUGCGAUGACGGUACCUGCAGAAUAAGCACCGGCUAACUCCGUGCCAGCAGCCGCGGUAAUACGGAGGGUGCGAGCGUUGUCCGGAUUUAUUGGGUUUAAAGGGUGCGUAGGCGGCCUGAUAAGUCCGGGGUGAAAGCCCGUUGCUCAACAACGGAACUGCCCUGGAUACUGUGAGGCUUGAGUACAGACGAGGUUGGCGGAAUGGACCGAGUAGCGGU
This 630-nucleotide ribosomal RNA is filed under the name uncultured bacterium. RNAcentral's name for it is "bacterial SSU rRNA". It matches the Rfam family "Bacterial small subunit ribosomal RNA", at positions 45 to 682 of the family's 1533-position model. The record is from RNAcentral.